This 610-nucleotide long non-coding RNA is filed under the name Zonotrichia albicollis (white-throated sparrow). RNAcentral describes it as "lncRNA (ENSZALG00000014216.1)". Lineage: Eukaryota; Metazoa; Chordata; Aves; Passeriformes; Passerellidae. The record is from RNAcentral.
AUGUGUGGGAUGAGCCUCCUGUUCAAACUCACGGAACAGCAUUUCCCUUUGGCACAGGGAGUGCACGGAGAGCCAGGAGGCGCCUCGGAGAGCAGCCCCUCGCAGUGCCCUGGAGAGCGAGGAGCUCCUCAGGGACCUCGUGGGCUCACUGAACGCCAGAGACUUCCGCGAGCGCAUCCGUGGGGUGCGCCAGCUGCUGCUGGACACGGAGAGCAGCCCGGCCCUGGUGCUCGCCAACAUCGUCAGGAUCUUCGAUGCUUUCAAGCCUCGCUUGCACGACUCCAACAGCAAAGUGACCCAGGUGGCUCUGGAGGCCAUGCACAGGAUGGUUCCACUGCUCAAAGACAAUUUGUCACCUGUGAUCAACAUGCUGAUUCCUGCCAUAGUGGACAACAACCUCAACUCCAAAAACCCAGGGAUUUAUGCAGCUGCCACCAAUGUGAUCCAGGCUCUAUGUCAACACUUAGACACCUCCCUGCUCCUGCAGCCGUUCUGCACAAAAGCCCAGUUCCUGAGUGGAAAAGCAAAGCAGGACCUGACAGAAAAGCUGGCUGAGCUGGUGCUGGCGCUGUAUCCCUCUCAAAGGCCAAGAUUCUAUAGAAAUUGUAAU